This 491-nucleotide ribosomal RNA is filed under the name uncultured bacterium. RNAcentral's name for it is "partial 16S ribosomal RNA". It matches the Rfam family "Bacterial small subunit ribosomal RNA", at positions 29 to 507 of the family's 1533-position model. The record is from RNAcentral.
AGUGAACGCUGGCGGUAGGCCUAACACAUGCAAGUCGAACGGCAGCACAGUAAGAGCUUGCUCUUACGGGUGGCGAGUGGCGGACGGGUGAGGAAUACAUCGGAAUCUACUUUUUCGUGGGGGGUAACGUAGGGAAACUUACGCUAAUACCGCAUACGACCUACGGGUGAAAGCAGGGGAUCUUCGGACCUUGCGCGAUUGAAUGAGCCGAUGUCGGAUUAGCUAGUUGGCGGGGUAAAGGCCCACCAAGGCGACGAUCCGUAGCUGGUCGGAGAGGAUGAUCAGCCACACUGGAACUGAGACACGGUCCAGACUCCUACGGGAGGCAGCAGUGGGGAAUAUUGGACAAUGGGCGCAAGCCUGAUCCAGCCAUACCGCGUGGGUGAAGAAGGCCUUCGGGUUGUAAAGCCCCUUUGUUGGGAAAGAAAAGCAGCAGGUUAAUACCCCGCUGUUCUGACGGUACCCAAAGAAUAAGCACCGGCUACUUCGUG